AUGACAUUUUUUUGGGGGGAGGGUAUCUAUGAAAGGUAUAAAAAUGCUGAAGUCCGCUUAUAGAGCAUUAUUGAAUACAGUUAUUUUACCAGUGAGUCGAAACAGAUAAAAGGCAAUAAUGCAUGCUUUGCUCCUUUUCUUGUUGGUUUUUGCCUACGCAAGUUGUGUUCUUGCCCAGUGGCCUUAUUAUUACAUUACGCAUUCCGUCGAAUAUCCAACAAUUUACGGGCAUCACUAUGAUCUGGAUGAUGAUUUCUACAAUUUCUACCACUGGAAGAAAUAAAACAUUUAAUAUUAAAAAAAGACAGUGAAGAUUGAUGGUCAAGGAUACAGAAUGCAGAAAUUUAUCUUACCGCUUUGUUUUAACCGUUAAAGAAAUGUUCUUGAAUGUUUAGUUCUUCUUCUGUUGAUUUACUGUACUUUUUAAUUCAAAUUUAACAAUAAAAAGCAAUAGAAAGUUCA
Long non-coding RNA from Stegodyphus dumicola, 462 nucleotides. RefSeq lists it as uncharacterized. Lineage: Eukaryota; Metazoa; Arthropoda; Arachnida; Araneae; Eresidae. The record is from RefSeq and is a predicted model, not a curated record.